UAGGGAAUUUUCCACAAUGGGCGCAAGCCUGAUGGAGCAACGCCGCGUGAGGGAUGAAGGGUUUCGGCUUGUAAACCUCUUUGGAGUGAGACGAACGGUCUGUCGGUGAACAAUCGGCGGAAGUGACGGUAUCACUAGAACAAGUCACGGCUAACUCUGUGCCAGCAGCCGCGGUAAUACAGAGGUGACUAACGUUGUCCGGAAUUAUUGGGCGUAAAGGGUGCGUAGGUGGUUUGAUAAGUCAGCGGUGAAAGUUUGCAGCUUAACUGUAAAAAUGCCGUUGAAACUGUCGGACUUGAGUGUAAAUGAGGUAGGCGGAAUGCGUGGUGUAGCGGUGAAAUGCAUAGAUAUCACGCAGAACUCCGAUUGCGAAGGCAGCUUACUAAGCUACAACUGACACUGAAGCACGAAAGCGUGGGGAUCAAACA
Molecule: ribosomal RNA, 428 nt
Filed under: uncultured prokaryote
Description: bacterial SSU rRNA
Rfam family: Bacterial small subunit ribosomal RNA
Source: RNAcentral